UAGUCCACGCCGUAAACGAUGUCGACUAGCCGUUGGGGACCUUAGAGUCUUUAGUGGCGCAGCUAACGCACUAAGUCGACCGCCUGGGGAGUACGGCCGCAAGGUUAAAACUCAAAUGAAUUGACGGGGGCCCGCACAAGCGGUGGAGCAUGUGGUUUAAUUUGAAGCAACGCGCAGAACCUUACCAGCCCUUGACAUGGGGGUCGCGGGUACCGGAGACGGUAUCCAUCAGUUCGGCUGGACCCCACACAGGUGCUGCAUGGCUGUCGUCAGCUCGUGUCGUGAGAUGUUGGGUUAAGUCCCGUCAACGAGCGCAACCCUCGCCCUUAGUUGCCAGCGGUUUCGGCCGGGCACUCUAGGGGAACUGCCGGUGACAAGCCGGAGGAAGGCGGGGAUGACGUCAAGUCCUCAUGGCCCUUAUGGGCUGGGCUACACACGUGCUACAAUGGCAGUGACAACGGGUAGCGAAGGGGUGACCUGGAGCCAAUCCCGAAAAGCCGUCUCAGUUCGGAUUGUACUCUGC
Molecule: ribosomal RNA, 523 nt
Filed under: uncultured bacterium
Lineage: Bacteria
Description: bacterial SSU rRNA
Rfam family: Bacterial small subunit ribosomal RNA
Source: RNAcentral